UACAGAGGGGGCAAGCGUUGUUCGGAAUUACUGGGCGUAAAGGGCUCGUAGGUGGCCAACUAAGUCAGACGUGAAAUCCCUCGGCUUAACCGGGGAACUGCGUCUGAUACUGGAUGGCUUGAGUUCGGGAGAGGGAUGCGGAAUUCCAGGUGUAGCGGUGAAAUGCGUAGAUAUCUGGAGGAACACCGGUGGCGAAGGCGGCAUCCUGGACCAACACUGACGCUGAGGCGCGAAAGCUAGGGGAGCAAACGGG
This 253-nucleotide ribosomal RNA is filed under the name uncultured bacterium. Its description in RNAcentral is "partial 16S ribosomal RNA". It matches the Rfam family "Bacterial small subunit ribosomal RNA", at positions 524 to 776 of the family's 1533-position model. The record is from RNAcentral.